Molecule: ribosomal RNA, 251 nt
Filed under: uncultured bacterium
Lineage: Bacteria
Description: partial 16S ribosomal RNA
Rfam family: Bacterial small subunit ribosomal RNA
Source: RNAcentral
ACGUAGGGAGCAAGCGUUAUCCGGAUUUAUUGGGUGUAAAGGGUGCGUAGACGGGAGAUUAAGUUAGUUGUGAAAGCCCUUGGCUUAACUGAGGAAUUGCAACUAAAACUGGUUUUCUUGAGUGCAGGAGAGGUAAGUGGAAUUCCUAGUGUAGCGGUGAAAUGCGUAGAUAUUAGGAGGAACACCAGUGGCGAAGGCGACUUACUGGACUGUAACUGACGUUGAGGCACGAAAGUGUGGGGAGCAAACAG